UAGGGAAUCUUCCGCAAUGGGCGAAAGCUUGACGGAGCAACGCCGCGUGAGUGAUGAAGGUCUUCGGAUCGUAAAACUCUGUUAUUAGGGAAGAACAAAUGUGUAAGUAACUAUGCACGUCUUGACGGUACCUAAUCAGAAAGCCACGGCUAACUACGUGCCAGCAGCCGCGGUAAUACGUAGGUGGCAAGCGUUAUCCGGAAUUAUUGGGCGUAAAGCGCGCGUAGGCGGUUUUUUAAGUCUGAUGUGAAAGCCCACGGCUCAACCGUGGAGGGUGAUUGGAAACUGGAAAACUUGAGUGCAGAAGAGGAAAGUGGAAUUCCAUGUGUAGCGGUGAAAUGCGCAGAGAUAUGGAGGAAAACCAGUGGCGAAGGCGACUUUCUGGUCUGUAAAUGACGCUGAUGUGCGAAAGCGUGGGGAUCAAACAGG
Molecule: ribosomal RNA, 429 nt
Filed under: Actinomycetes bacterium
Lineage: Bacteria; Bacillati; Actinomycetota; Actinomycetes
Description: Actinobacteria bacterium partial 16S ribosomal RNA
Rfam family: Bacterial small subunit ribosomal RNA
Source: RNAcentral